AAGUCGUAACAAGGUUUCCGUAGGUGAACCUGCGGAAGGAUCAUUAACGUAUCUCUGGCGGGGUGCUCGGUGCACCCCCCGCUCCGGCCAUGAUGCUGUGUAGCGGGGGGGAGCCCGGGUCCCGUCCAACCUUCACAAACCCACCGUGCACAUUCACGGCCGAGGGCCCCUUGGGGCCUGAAGCCGCGUCACCAAACUCCAGUAUCAAAUGAAUGUAUCGAAUUGUGGCCUCUGUGCUGCCUAAAAACAAAACAACUUUCAACAACGGAUCUCUUGGCUCUC
RNAcentral lists this unclassified non-coding RNA (282 nucleotides) under air metagenome. Its description in RNAcentral is "partial contains small subunit ribosomal RNA, internal transcribed spacer 1, and 5.8S ribosomal RNA". The stretch from base 1 to 46 matches the Rfam family "Eukaryotic small subunit ribosomal RNA", at positions 1786 to 1831 of the family's 1831-position model. The record is from RNAcentral.